GUGGUAAUGCCGGAUGCUCCAUCACACCGCAUGGUGUGUUGGGAAAGCCUUUGCGGCAUGGGAUGGGGUCGCGUCCUAUCAGCUUGAUGGCGGGGUAACGGCCCACCAUGGCUUCGACGGGUAGCCGGCCUGAGAGGGCGACCGGCCACAUUGGGACUGAGAUACGGCCCAGACUCCUACGGGAGGCAGCAGUGGGGAAUAUUGCACAAUGGGCGCAAGCCUGAUGCAGCGACGCCGCGUGAGGGAUGGAGGCCUUCGGGUUGUAAACCUCUUUUGUUAGGGAGCAAGGCAUUUUUGUGUUGAGUGUACCUUUCGAAUAAGCACCGGCUAACUACGUGCCAGCAGCCGCGGUAAUACGUAGGGUGCAAGCGUUAUCCGGAAUUAUUGGGCGUAAAGGGCUCGUAGGCGGUUCGUCGCGUCCGGUGUGAAAGUCCAUCGCUUAACGGUGGAUCCGCGCCGGGUACGGGCGGGCUUGAGUGCGGUAGGGGAGACUGGAAUUCCCGGUGUAACGGUGGAAUGUGUAGAUAUCGG
Molecule: ribosomal RNA, 531 nt
Filed under: Bifidobacterium breve
Lineage: Bacteria; Bacillati; Actinomycetota; Actinomycetes; Bifidobacteriales; Bifidobacteriaceae
Description: bacterial SSU rRNA
Rfam family: Bacterial small subunit ribosomal RNA
Source: RNAcentral